UACGUAGGGGGCGAGCGUUGUCCGGAAUUACUGGGCGUAAAGGGCACGCAGGCUGUGUAUCAAGCCAUCUGUAAAAGGAUGCGGCUUAACCGUGUUAAGCAGAUGGGACUGAUGUACUGGAGUGCUGGAGAGGCAAGCGGAAUUCCCUGUGUAGCGGUGAAAUGCGUAGAUAUAGGGAAGAACAUCGGUGGCGAAGGCGGCUUGCUGGCCAGUAACUGACGCUGAGGUGCGAAAGCCAGGGUAGC
RNAcentral lists this ribosomal RNA (245 nucleotides) under uncultured Fretibacterium sp. RNAcentral's name for it is "partial 16S ribosomal RNA". It matches the Rfam family "Bacterial small subunit ribosomal RNA", at positions 524 to 769 of the family's 1533-position model. The record is from RNAcentral. Lineage: Bacteria; Thermotogati; Synergistota; Synergistia; Synergistales; Aminobacteriaceae.